GACGAACGCUGGCGGCGUGCUUAACACAUGCAAGUCGAACGGAAAGGCCCUGCUUUUGUGGGGUGCUCGAGUGGCGAACGGGUGAGUAACACGUGAGUAACCUGCCCUUGACUUUGGGAUAACUUCAGGAAACUGGGGCUAAUACCGGAUAGGAGCUCCUGCUGCAUGGUGGGGGUUGGAAAGUGUCGGCGGUUGGGGAUGGACUCGCGGCUUAUCAGCUUGUUGGUGGGGUAGUGGCUUACCAAGGCUUUGACGGGUAGCCGGCCUGAGAGGGUGACCGGCCACAUUGGGACUGAGAUACGGCGCAGACGCCUACGGGAGGCAGCAGUGGGGAAUAUUGCACAAUGGGCGGAAGCCUGAUGCAGCAACGCCGCGUGCGGGAUGACGGCCUUCGGGUUGUAAACCGCUUUCGCCUGUGACGAAGCGUGAGUGACGGUAAUGGGUAAAGAAGCACCGGCUAACUACGUG
RNAcentral lists this ribosomal RNA (468 nucleotides) under uncultured bacterium. Its description in RNAcentral is "partial 16S ribosomal RNA". It matches the Rfam family "Bacterial small subunit ribosomal RNA", at positions 28 to 507 of the family's 1533-position model. The record is from RNAcentral.